CAAUAGCGUAUAUUAAAGUUGUUGCAGUUAAAAAGCUCGUAGUUGGAUUUCUGAUCGAGACAUCAGGUCGGGUCCGAGAGGAUCAUGUACUUUGAUUUUGUUUUGAUCAUCCUUGGGGAGAGCAUUUCUGGCAUUCAGUUGUCGGGAUUGGGAUCCUCAUCGUUUACUGUGAAAAAAUUAGAGUGUUCAAAGCAGGCCUCGGCCUCUGAAUACAUUAGCAUGGAAUAAUAAGAUAGGACUUUGGUGGUCUAUUUUGUUGGUUUGCACGCCAAAGUAAUGAUUAAUAGGGAUAGUUGGGGGUAUUCGUAUUCAAUUGUCAGAGGUGAAAUUCUUGGAUUUAUGGAAGACGAACUACUGCGAAAGCAGUUACCAAGGAUGUUUUCAUUAA
RNAcentral lists this ribosomal RNA (388 nucleotides) under uncultured eukaryote. Its description in RNAcentral is "partial 18S ribosomal RNA". It matches the Rfam family "Eukaryotic small subunit ribosomal RNA", at positions 592 to 976 of the family's 1831-position model. The record is from RNAcentral.